This 563-nucleotide ribosomal RNA is filed under the name Enterobacterales bacterium. RNAcentral's name for it is "bacterial SSU rRNA". It matches the Rfam family "Bacterial small subunit ribosomal RNA", at positions 826 to 1390 of the family's 1533-position model. The record is from RNAcentral. Lineage: Bacteria; Pseudomonadati; Pseudomonadota; Gammaproteobacteria; Enterobacterales.
GUGCCUUGAGGCGUGGCUUCCGGAGCUAACGCGUUAAGUCGACCGCCUGGGGAGUACGGCCGCAAGGUUAAAACUCAAAUGAAUUGACGGGGGCCCGCACAAGCGGUGGAGCAUGUGGUUUAAUUCGAUGCAACGCGAAGAACCUUACCUACUCUUGACAUCCAGAGAAUUCGCUAGAGAUAGCUUAGUGCCUUCGGGAACUCUGAGACAGGUGCUGCAUGGCUGUCGUCAGCUCGUGUUGUGAAAUGUUGGGUUAAGUCCCGCAACGAGCGCAACCCUUAUCCUUUGUUGCCAGCACGUAAUGGUGGGAACUCAAAGGAGACUGCCGGUGAUAAACCGGAGGAAGGUGGGGAUGACGUCAAGUCAUCAUGGCCCUUACGAGUAGGGCUACACACGUGCUACAAUGGCGUAUACAAAGAGAAGCGAACUCGCGAGAGCCAGCGGACCUCAUAAAGUACGUCGUAGUCCGGAUCGGAGUCUGCAACUCGACUCCGUGAAGUCGGAAUCGCUAGUAAUCGUAGAUCAGAAUGCUACGGUGAAUACGUUCCCGGGCCUUGCACCAC